RNAcentral lists this ribosomal RNA (465 nucleotides) under Vreelandella stevensii. Its description in RNAcentral is "partial 16S ribosomal RNA". It matches the Rfam family "Bacterial small subunit ribosomal RNA", at positions 338 to 795 of the family's 1533-position model. The record is from RNAcentral. Lineage: Bacteria; Pseudomonadati; Pseudomonadota; Gammaproteobacteria; Oceanospirillales; Halomonadaceae.
CCUACGGGCGGCAGCAGUGGGGAAUAUUGGACAAUGGGGGCGACCCUGAUCCAGCCAUGCCGCGGGUGUGAAGAAGGCCCUCGGGUUGUAAAGAACUUUCAGUGAGGAAGAACGCCUGGUGGUUAAUACCCAUCAGGAAAGACAUCACUCACAGAAGAAGCACCGGCUAACUCCGUGCCAGCAGCCGCGGUAAUACGGAGGGUGCGAGCGUUAAUCGGAAUUACUGGGCGUAAAGCGCGCGUAGGUGGCUUGAUAAGCCGGUUGUGAAAGCCCCGGGCUCAACCUGGGAACGGCAUCCGGAACUGUCAAGCUAGAGUGCAGGAGAGGAAGGUAGAAUUCCCGGUGUAGCGGUGAAAUGCGUAGAGAUCGGGAGGAAUACCAGUGGCGAAGGCGGCCUUCUGGACUGACACUGACACUGAGGUGCGAAAGCGUGGGUAGCAAACAGGAUUAGAUACCCCUGUAGUC